AUGUGUUGGGUUUGAAAGGUCCUGGAAGGUUUAAAGGUCGAAAGGUGAUGAAAUGAGUUGAAAGGGUCCUUGAAGGUGAAAGUGCUGAAGUGGAUCGAAUGGGUUGAGUUGGAAAGGUCCUGGAAGGUGAAAGAGUGAAAAGAUGAUGAUAUAUGUUGGGUUGGAAAGGUCCUGGAAGGUUUAAAGGUCGAAAGGUGAUGAAAUGAGUUGAAAGGGUCCUUGCAGGUGAAAGUGCUGAAGGGGAACGAAUGGGUUGAGUUGGAAAGGUCCUGGAAGGUGAAAGUGUGCUCUGUUUUUCCAUCUGUUUUCACACUGGAUCUCUUGUUUUCCAGCCAACAGAGGAAGCGGGGCGGCCGGCAGCUCGCAGACCGGCGACGCGCUGGGGAAAGCGCUUGCAUCUAUCUAUUCUCCAGAUCACACCAACACCAGCUUCCCAUCAAAUCCUUCAACUCCUGUCGGUUCUCCCCCUUCUCUCUCAGCAGGCACAGCUGUUUGGUCUAGAAAUGGAGGUCAAGCGUCAUCAUCUCCCAAUUAUGAAGGUCCCUUACACUCUUUGGUACGUUGCCAUCGACGACCUCCUCUUCCUCUUCCUCUUCCUCCACUUCCGCUUCCUCUUCCUCCACUUCCGCUUCCUCUUCCUCUUCCUCCUCUUCCUCUUCCUCGCGGUUAAUGAAUGACUUCAUCUCCUUUUUGUUCCGUUUCUCAUCCAUUCCUUCCCUUUUUCCCCCCGUCCCCCCUUUUCCCGGCCUCCAAACAAAGCUUUGGCUCGCGGUAGCCCGAUUUGGGCUUGCAGGUGGAUGGAUUUUUCGAGUCCGACGCGGAGGUGAGGGGCCUUCAGGUUGGCCAGUGAUGGGUGCGGGUCACUAGCCAAGGAUGGGUGAUGGUCACUGGCUCAGGAUGGGUGCUGAUCUGUGGCCCAGGAUGGGUGCUGGUCACUGGCUCAGUUUGGGUGCUGGUUGCUGGCCCAGGAUGGGUGCUGGUCACUAGCCCAGGAUGGGUGCUGGUCGUUGCCCAAGGAUGGGUGCUGUUCUUU
Molecule: non-coding RNA, 1033 nt
Organism: Phasianus colchicus (ring-necked pheasant)
Lineage: Eukaryota; Metazoa; Chordata; Aves; Galliformes; Phasianidae
Source: RefSeq, a predicted model, not a curated record